GUGCCAGCCGCCGCGGUAAUACGUAGGACCCGAGCGUUGUCCGGAAUUACUGGGUGUAAAGGGCGUGUAGGUGGACCUCUCAGUCGGUGGUGAAAUCCUGCGGCUCAACCGCAGAACUGCCGCCGAUACUGGAGGUCUUGAGUACGGCAGAGGGAGAUGGAAUUCAUGGUGUAGCGGUGAAAUGUGUAGAUAUCAUGAAGAACACCGGUUGCGAAGGCGGUCUCCUGGUCCGUUACUGACACUGAGGCGCGAAAGCGUGGGGAGCAAACAGGAUUAGAAACCCUAGUAGUCC
This 292-nucleotide ribosomal RNA is filed under the name uncultured bacterium. Its description in RNAcentral is "partial 16S ribosomal RNA". It matches the Rfam family "Bacterial small subunit ribosomal RNA", at positions 505 to 796 of the family's 1533-position model. The record is from RNAcentral.